Cucurbita pepo subsp. pepo (vegetable marrow) is the source of this 473-nucleotide non-coding RNA. Lineage: Eukaryota; Viridiplantae; Streptophyta; Magnoliopsida; Cucurbitales; Cucurbitaceae. The record is from RefSeq and is a predicted model, not a curated record.
UAAAGGAGAGGGUGAAGCGGAGGAGACGAACGAUGGAGCUUGAAGCGCUCGUCAGCAACGGUGGGGCGGAACGGUUGAGGAAGGGAGAACGCCGACGGUUAUUGUCGAGGGAAGUUGAUGAGUCCUUGUGAAGAUGGUGAGAGGAAAGAAAGAUCAAGAAGAAGGUGGGAAGAAGAGGCCAAAAAUCGAGGGGCACGACCCGACCCGACCUGACCCACCGGAAAAUUUCCAAUUAGCUUAGUCAAGGGGACACUUGAAGCCUCGAUAAAGUUUGGAGAAGUCUACCAUCAGGUAAGUAACCAUCUAGAGCAAGUUUUAAGUAAUUUCUUGUAGGAGUUGGUUUGGAUUUUGUGGGCAAAUAAUGUAGCACUGUAUUUAGGAAUGGAUAAAGUUAGUUCAUGGAGGUGGUACUUCCAUAAUGUGUGUGGUUAUAUUUGAUUGUUGUUAUGGUUAUAUAAUUUUGUUGGCAUGAA